Molecule: ribosomal RNA, 497 nt
Filed under: uncultured bacterium
Lineage: Bacteria
Description: partial 16S ribosomal RNA
Rfam family: Bacterial small subunit ribosomal RNA
Source: RNAcentral
AUUGAACGCUGGCGGCAUGCUUUACACAUGCAAGUCGAACGGUAACAGGCCGCAAGGUGCUGACGAGUGGCGAACGGGUGAGUAAUGCAUCGGAACGUGCCCCGUCGUGGGGGAUAACGCAGCGAAAGCUGUGCUCAUACCGCAUACGAUCUAUGGAUGAAAGCGGGGGACCGAGAGGCCUCGCGCGAUUCGAGCGGCCGAUGCCAGAUUAGGUAGUUGAUGGGGUAAAGGCGCACCAAGCCAACGAUCUGUAGCUGGUCUGAGAGGACGACCAGCAACACUGGGACUGAGACACGGCCCAGACUCCUACGGGGGGCAGCAGUGGGGAAUUUUGGACAAUGGGCGCAAGCCUGAUCCAGCAAUGCCGCGUGCAGGAAGAAGGCCUUCGGGUUGUAAACUGCUUUUGUACGGAACGAAAAGGUUUGGGUUAAUACCCUGGGCCGAUGACGGUACCGUAAGAAUAAGCACCGGCUAACUACGUGCAGCCGCCGCCGUAA